ACGAACGCUGGCGGCAGGCCUAACACAUGCAAGUCGAGCGCUACCUUCGGGUGGAGCGGCGCACGGGUUAGUAACGCGUGGGAACCUACCUUUUAGUACGGGACAACGUUUGGAAACGAACGCUAAUACCGUAUACGCCCUCCGGGGGAAAGGUCAGCCGCUAAAAGAGGGGCCCGCGUCUGAUUAGCUUGUUGGUAAGGUAAUGGCUUACCAAGGCUACGAUCAGUAGCUGGUCUGAGAGGAUGAUCAGCCACACUGGGACUGAGACACGGCCCAGACUCCUACGGGAGGCAGCAGUGGGGAAUAUUGC
Molecule: ribosomal RNA, 310 nt
Filed under: uncultured Alphaproteobacteria bacterium
Lineage: Bacteria; Pseudomonadati; Pseudomonadota; Alphaproteobacteria
Description: SSU rRNA
Rfam family: Bacterial small subunit ribosomal RNA
Source: RNAcentral